GUUAGGAAUCUUCCACAAUGGGGGCAACCCUGAUGGAGCAACACCGCGUGCUGGAUGAAGGCCUUCGGGUCGUAAACAGCUUUUGUAUACGAAGAAUAUGACGGUAAUAUACGAAUAAGGGUCGGCUAACUACGUGCCAGCAGCCGCGGUCAUACGUAGGACCCAAGCGUUAUCCGGAGUGACUGGGCGUAAAGAGUUGCGUAGGCGGCUUAUUAAGCGAGUAGUGAAAUCUGGUGGCUCAACCAUCAACACAUUGCUCGAACUGAUAGGCUUGAGAAUGGUAGAGGUAGUUGGAAUUUCUUGUGUAGGAGUGAAAUCCGUAGAUAUAAGAAGGAACACCAAUGGCGUAGGCAGACUACUGGACCAUUUCUGACGCUGAGGCACGAAAGCGUGGGGAGCGAACCGGAUUAGAUACCCUGGUAGUCC
This 426-nucleotide ribosomal RNA is filed under the name uncultured bacterium. Its description in RNAcentral is "partial 16S ribosomal RNA". It matches the Rfam family "Bacterial small subunit ribosomal RNA", at positions 354 to 796 of the family's 1533-position model. The record is from RNAcentral.